RNAcentral lists this unclassified non-coding RNA (683 nucleotides) under Aplysia californica (California sea hare). Its description in RNAcentral is "rYamide receptor, transcript variant X6". The record is from RNAcentral. Lineage: Eukaryota; Metazoa; Mollusca; Gastropoda; Aplysiida; Aplysiidae.
ACUUUGCUGAAUGAUCCCCCCUUUGAUGUGUUCGCGAAGAGGGGGCCGAGUGAGUUCGCGCGCGGAUGGUUAUCCCAGGUACUUUCUCACACUGGCGAUACCGAUCGCAUUGACAAACAGACCAAAGUCAUCGACCAACGGCAGUGGUUUCAAAGGAAGGACUUUAUCAACCGAGUUUGCGGACAAAAGUGUUUUUCUUUCUUUUAAAUAGUUUUAUUAUAGUGAAUGAUGUGGGUUCCUUUUAGCUGUGCAGGUGAAACGCUUGUGAUAAUUAAUUGUAUUUUCAAGCCAAGUGUAAGCGAAAGGUGCCUGCGACUAAACUAUAUAUGAACAGAGAAAAAAGACACGUAAGCCGAAUUACUUCGGAUGUGUGAAAUGGUCUAUUUUAUAAUAGCCACCAAAGGAAAGACCACCCAACCCAAGUGAUCCCGGUUGUUUUAAUCGUUGCAAUUUAAUAUUUGAUGUAGUGUCGUAUUUGUUCUGCUUCGCUGCAUCUCGUCUUACCUGAGAAGUUGUACAGUUUGUUUCUUGACACUGCGCUUAUUCACUUGAGUAACCUUCAACGUAUUCCCCACAACAUUCGGAGGAUCCAAGGGUUUUGCGGAGACAUUUCAUCUCCCAUGCAGUAUCCUUGUUUGGAGGGUUGCAAGCCAACAGGUCGCUACCUCAGAAUUACAAAGUUC